Molecule: unclassified non-coding RNA, 352 nt
Filed under: Hevea brasiliensis (rubber tree)
Lineage: Eukaryota; Viridiplantae; Streptophyta; Magnoliopsida; Malpighiales; Euphorbiaceae
Source: RNAcentral
UGAUUCGUCCGAGAUCGGUGAGAUGUGGAGGUUUGAGGAUCAGAUCCCGAACUACGAUGCUUUCGAACUGGAAGGUGGAGAUGUGUAUAGCGGCAGCGAUACGGCGGAGUAUGUGGCGUUCGAUGGACUGAUGGAGUAUUCGAAUCUGUGUUUUGAUUCGUCAGAUAGCUCGGAUUUUCUUUGGCGGCAAGAAUCUCUGCCGGCGCAGUAGGUAGAAACGUCGCCGAUUUGUAAAUGUUUUUGGUUUAGAUUUGUUGAAGGGGGAAGAUGGAAAGGUUUGUAGGACUAGUGUGAUACAGAUGCCGCAGAUGAAAAUAGAAAUUGGUUCGUUUUUUCUUUCUUUUUAAGUUUG